This 753-nucleotide ribosomal RNA is filed under the name Serratia marcescens. RNAcentral describes it as "bacterial SSU rRNA". It matches the Rfam family "Bacterial small subunit ribosomal RNA", at positions 30 to 774 of the family's 1533-position model. Lineage: Bacteria; Pseudomonadati; Pseudomonadota; Gammaproteobacteria; Enterobacterales; Yersiniaceae. The record is from RNAcentral.
GGGAUGACACGGUACUUAACACAUGCAAGUCGAGCGGUAGCACAGGGGAGCUUGCUCCCUGGGUGACGAGCGGCGGACGGGUGAGUAAUGUCUGGGAAACUGCCUGAUGGAGGGGGAUAACUACUGGAAACGGUAGCUAAUACCGCAUAACGUCGCAAGACCAAAGAGGGGGACCUUCGGGCCUCUUGCCAUCAGAUGUGCCCAGAUGGGAUUAGCUAGUAGGUGGGGUAAUGGCUCACCUAGGCGACGAUCCCUAGCUGGUCUGAGAGGAUGACCAGCCACACUGGAACUGAGACACGGUCCAGACUCCUACGGGAGGCAGCAGUGGGGAAUAUUGCACAAUGGGCGCAAGCCUGAUGCAGCCAUGCCGCGUGUGUGAAGAAGGCCUUCGGGUUGUAAAGCACUUUCAGCGAGGAGGAAGGUGGUGAACUUAAUACGCUCAUCAAUUGACGUUACUCGCAGAAGAAGCACCGGCUAACUCCGUGCCAGCAGCCGCGGUAAUACGGAGGGUGCAAGCGUUAAUCGGAAUUACUGGGCGUAAAGCGCACGCAGGCGGUUUGUUAAGUCAGAUGUGAAAUCCCCGGGCUCAACCUGGGAACUGCAUUUGAAACUGGCAAGCUAGAGUCUCGUAGAGGGGGUUAGAAUUCCAUGUGUUACUUUGAAAUGCUUAGAGAUCUGGAUGAAUACCGGUGGCGAAUGUCGUCUCCUGGACUAACACUUGACCCUCAUGUGCUAUAGCGUGUUGAUCAAACC